This 253-nucleotide ribosomal RNA is filed under the name uncultured bacterium. RNAcentral's name for it is "partial 16S ribosomal RNA". It matches the Rfam family "Bacterial small subunit ribosomal RNA", at positions 524 to 776 of the family's 1533-position model. The record is from RNAcentral.
UACAGAGGUCUCAAGCGUUGUUCGGAUUCAUUGGGCGUAAAGCGCGCGUAGGCGGCUCGGAAAGUCGGGCGUGAAAUGCCGGGGCUCAACCCCGGGACUGCGUCCGAUACUUCCGAGCUGGAGGUAGGUAGGGGAGAUCGGAAUUCCUGGUGUAGCGGUGAAAUGCGCAGAUAUCAGGAGGAACACCGGUGGCGAAGGCGGAUCUCUGGGCCUUACCUGACGCUGAGGCGCGAAAGCUAGGGGAGCGAACAGG